RNAcentral lists this long non-coding RNA (279 nucleotides) under Columba livia (rock pigeon). RNAcentral's name for it is "partial uncharacterized LOC106145679". Lineage: Eukaryota; Metazoa; Chordata; Aves; Columbiformes; Columbidae. The record is from RNAcentral.
GGAAGACGUUACAGAAUGCGCGCGGAAGUACCGGAAACCGGGGGGAUGUAUAAUGGUAUCCUAACUCAACGUACAUAACACAAAUACAACAGCAACACAACUGGUUGGCAGUUAUGGUUCUCAGAACAUACUGUCACUCUGCAUGUACAGUCUUGGAUGCCUACUGACCUCUGACAGCUUCCAGAAUAACCUAGAAGACAGCUAUGACUGGGAAUGUCAAUCAUCCAAAUCACAUAAGAGGAAAUCACUAUUUGGUGUCCACGCUGCCACUUACGGAAC